RNAcentral lists this long non-coding RNA (1276 nucleotides) under Acyrthosiphon pisum (pea aphid). Its description in RNAcentral is "uncharacterized LOC100573798, transcript variant X3". The record is from RNAcentral. Lineage: Eukaryota; Metazoa; Arthropoda; Insecta; Hemiptera; Aphididae.
AACGUUCUUAUCAAAACGAAAAAAUAAUAAACAAGUCUGCCGGCUCUUUUUUUCGCGUCUCGGAAUUUACUAAUACUACUUUUAAAGGUACGAGUUUGCGGCCCACACGUUCGCAAAUCCCACGAAUACUUUAUCAUCCAAACAAGCAAUAAAGUUUAUGUCGAGUGAUAGACUUACAGUUCCAUCUGAAGAAAAAGUAACCAAAGUUUGGUUACCAAACUAACAUUCAUUGUUAUAUUUUGAUAUUGCGAAGGAAAACUGCAGUAUUUGAAAGCGUUAUUCGUUGGGUAAGACAUGAAUUGGGUUCAAAAAAAAAUUGAAACAUUACAUAUAAAAAAAGUAGGUAGUUGAGGAACUUCUUUUUAAGAAUUGUUUUAAAUGUAAAGAUUACAUAAUAGAGGCAUUACAUUUUCAUAUUAUAUUCAAGUCAGAAGAGCUUAUUCCGCAGAACAUCUGGUAUAAAUCCAGACAUGGGGAUAAAGUUAUUUUCGUGAUUGGUGGUGAGAAUAUGGAUAUAAUAGGAAUUGAUGAAAUAGGAAAAAAUAGUAUAGAAUGGUUAGACACAAAAAUUAACAGAUGGCAUUUUGGACCAUAAAUGAUAACAAGCCGUCAAGGAACUAAUCUAGCAGUAGUGAAUGAAAAUUUAGUGUUUGCUGUUGGUGGUUUUGAUGAUUAUGAUGAAUCUCUUCGGUCAGUUGACGUGCAAGAUUUAUCUUCAGAACCGCCUUGUUGGAAACCUAGUGUCGACAUGUUGGCAGAAUCAAUUACAGAGAAGGUAUAUUAAAUAGUCCAGAAGAUUUUGACUACAAAACUCAAGAAUGGCGUAUGCUAAUUUUUAUGUCUACUGAAAAAUCUUUUGUCGGGGUCGUAAUACUGAAUAAUCUUUUAUACGCAGUAGGAGGUUAUGAUGAAUCAUCGCAGGCUUUAGACACUGUUGAAUGUUAUCAUCCCAGUCUUGAUACAUGGACGCCAGUCACAAAAAUGUCUGUACAUCAUAGUGGUGCAGUUGUAGGAGUUUUUGACGGUGUACUAUAUGCUGUGGGUGGUUGUGAUGGAUCAAACAGUCUGAGUAUUGUUGAAGCAUACAGACCAAAUUGUCCAAAUUGACCAAAGUGUUUAGGCUGCUGUUGCAAACAUGAAUUUACCUCAACAAUUGGCCGGAGUAGUUGCAAUGGAUGGUUUAUUGUAUGUUGUCGAUGGAGAAGACGGAACUUCAUUUUUCAGUUCUACAGAAUGUUACAGGCUCAAAACCAAUAAUUGGACUUUGUUAACAGCG